GGGUAAGAGGCUAGGCUGUAGGUAAAUUACUAUUUGGUCUUCUUUGAGCCAGUAAGUUAACACCACAGAAAAGCCUAGCUUGGCAUUUCCUGACUUGGAAGUGCUUUAAUUCGCUCCUUUCGGCAAAAUAUACCCAUGGGCUUUGCUCUGGGUUGGCCCUUUGUGAGGCAGAUGUGUGAUUCAAUGGGCUUUGACAGCGCUGCCUAGCCAAAAAAUAUCUUGCCAGGCCCAACAUUCCCACUCUGAAAUUUUUUUCUACUGGUUAACACAUUAUUUCCAGAAAGCUCUGUCAAAAUGUAGAUGCAUUACUGGAGAAAUAUGACACACGAGACAAACAGCAGAGAAAAAUGCAGUAAGCUCUAUACCCAACAUGGAGCUCAAACUCACGACCCGGAGAUUCAUUCUUAUUGGACCUGCUCACAUAGAUGGCCCACUCUUGAAGCAGUCACCCUGAAGUCAUCUCUGAAGCCAGCUCUGAUUGGUAGGCCUGGGUCAUGUGCUUCAUUUUAAGGCUGAGGACAGAGCCCCAUUCACACCAUCUGGAUGCAAGUUGGGUGGGGAGGGAAUAUUCCAGUGAAAACCAGCGGUAGGGCUUGAAGAGGAGGAGUACAAACUGGGCAAGGCAAAGAGUAAAUGUGUACCAAAGAAAAAUUAUCUCAUCCAUUUUCACAAAUGCCUUCUGAGGCACAGAGAGAGUAAAUAAAUUGUCCUAGGUCACAUGGUUAAUGAGUAGU
Molecule: long non-coding RNA, 734 nt
Filed under: Vulpes vulpes (red fox)
Lineage: Eukaryota; Metazoa; Chordata; Mammalia; Carnivora; Canidae
Description: lncRNA (ENSVVUG00000015466.1)
Source: RNAcentral